GACGAACGCUGGCGGCGUGCUUAACACAUGCAAGUCGAACGGAAAGGCCCUGCUUUUGUGGGGUGCUCGAGUGGCGAACGGGUGAGUAACACGUGAGUAGCCUGCCCUUGACUUUGGGAUAACUUCAGGAAACUGGGGCUAAUACCGGAUAGGAGCUCCUGCUGCAUGGUGGGGGUUGGAAAGUUUCGGCGGUUGGGGAUGGACUCGCGGCUUAUCAGCUUGUUGGUGGGGUAGUGGCUUACCAAGGCUUUGACGGGUAGCCGGCCUGAGAGGGUGACCGGCCACAUUGGGACUGAGAUACGGCCCAGACUCCUACGGGAGGCAGCAGUGGAGAAUAUUGCACAAUGGGCGGAAGCCUGAUGCAGCAACGCCGCGUGCGGGAUGACGGCCUUCGGGUUGUAAACCGCUUUCGCCUGUGACGAAGCGUGAGUGACGGUAAUGGGUAAAGAAGCACCGGCUAACUACGUG
RNAcentral lists this ribosomal RNA (468 nucleotides) under uncultured bacterium. RNAcentral describes it as "partial 16S ribosomal RNA". It matches the Rfam family "Bacterial small subunit ribosomal RNA", at positions 28 to 507 of the family's 1533-position model. The record is from RNAcentral.